RNAcentral lists this ribosomal RNA (568 nucleotides) under uncultured bacterium. RNAcentral describes it as "bacterial SSU rRNA". It matches the Rfam family "Bacterial small subunit ribosomal RNA", at positions 338 to 916 of the family's 1533-position model. The record is from RNAcentral.
CCUACGGGAGGCAGCAGUGGGGAAUAUUGCACAAUGGGCGAAAGCCUGAUGCAGCGACGCCGCGUGAGGGAUGACGGCCUUCGGGUUGUAAACCUCUUUCAGCAGGGAAGAAGCGCAAGUGACGGUACCUGCAGAAGAAGCACCGGCUAACUACGUGCCAGCAGCCGCGGUAAUACGUAGGGUGCGAGCGUUGUCCGGAAUUAUUGGGCGUAAAGAGCUCGUAGGCGGUCUGUCGCGUCGGAUGUGAAAGCCCGGGGCUUAACCCCGGGUCUGCAUUCGAUACGGGCAGACUAGAGUGUGGUAGGGGAGAUCGGAAUUCCUGGUGUAGCGGUGAAAUGCGCAGAUAUCAGGAGGAACACCGGUGGCGAAGGCGGAUCUCUGGGCCAUUACUGACGCUGAGGAGCGAAAGCGUGGGGAGCGAACAGGAUUAGAUACCCUGGUAGUCCACGCCGUAAACGUUGGGAACUAGGUGUUGGCGACAUUCCACGUCGUCGGUGCCGCAGCUAACGCAUUAAGUUCCCCGCCUGGGGAGUACGGCCGCAAGGCUAAAACUCAAAUGAAUUGACGG